This 54-nucleotide ribosomal RNA is filed under the name Phyllactinia fraxini. RNAcentral's name for it is "partial 18S ribosomal RNA". It matches the Rfam family "Eukaryotic small subunit ribosomal RNA", at positions 1778 to 1830 of the family's 1831-position model. Lineage: Eukaryota; Fungi; Ascomycota; Leotiomycetes; Helotiales; Erysiphaceae. The record is from RNAcentral.
GGAAGUAAANUGUCGUAACAAGGUUUCCGUAGGUGAACCUGCGGAAGGAUCAUU